Molecule: transfer RNA, 88 nt
Filed under: Lentisphaerota bacterium
Lineage: Bacteria; Pseudomonadati; Lentisphaerota
Description: Lentisphaerae bacterium (freshwater sediment metagenome) tRNA-Ser
Rfam family: tRNA
About the family: Transfer RNA (tRNA) molecules are approximately 80 nucleotides in length. Their secondary structure includes four short double-helical elements and three loops (D, anti-codon, and T loops).
Source: RNAcentral
GGAGGGGUGGCUGAGUGGACUAAAGCACCGGUCUUGAAAACCGGCGACGGGAAACCGUCCGGGGGUUCGAAUCCCUCCCCCUCCGCCA